Molecule: long non-coding RNA, 221 nt
Filed under: Anolis carolinensis (green anole)
Lineage: Eukaryota; Metazoa; Chordata; Lepidosauria; Squamata; Anolidae
Description: lncRNA (ENSACAG00000036214.1)
Source: RNAcentral
GGCUUUUGUUGUGCAACCUGUGCUUAAUCUUAAUAGCUUGGAAGGCGAUUGGGGACCUUCAGGAUUAGACCCGUGGACAAGCUGGAGGGAUGGGACGGGAUCCACAGCUGGGGAUGCUGUGGGGCGUAGUCAAAGGUGUUUCAGUUCUGAUGAGGAAAGUGAUGAGGAAACGCCUGGAAUUAGGGUAACAGCUGAUAGUGAUGAGGAGCUGUAAACUGGCA